CCGGACAUAUCUGACAUAUAUAACAGACCAGCAAGUGCCUACACAGCAGCCAAAUAUGCUAAAGCUGGAUCAUAUGAUGAAGAAGGAAAGAGUAUUCCCAAAUCUGGAGUUUAUGCAGAAGCAGGAGUUGGACGAGCUCGUGCUGAAUUCAGUGUAUUUGAGGCAGAAGCCAAAGGUCCAAACGCCUCAGCUGGUGCUGAAGUCAGUGGGACUGGAGCUGGAGCAAAUGGCUCGGCUGAAAUUGCCAGUGCAUCAGCUAAAGCUGGUCCAGUUGGUCUAAAAGUGGGACUAGGAUUUGACACGGGUGCAUCUGCUGGUUUGGAUGGGGUCGAAGCCAAAUUCUUGGGAACUGGAUUCACAAUUGGUAAAAAAACGAGUGUAUCUGUUCUAGGCAAUGAAGCAUCAUGUUCAGUCAUGUGAUCACACAGGUAUGUUUAACUAUGUGAAACUCCGGUUUGGAUCCAACCUUUGCAAAGAUUUCAGGCAACGGCAACAAUUACGAAGACUUAAGAGAUGACGUUAACUUUGGAUCAACAUACUAAAUGGUCAAAUAUUAUCCUUAUAUUGCAAUCAUUAUAAGCAUAUUUGAUCUGUCUGCUUAACUGAAUGCAUGAUGUCAACUAAACUUGAGGCUGAUAACUUCCUUCCUUCAGUACCUGUAACACUGCUGCUUUCAAUAUGUUUUGUGAAAAGUGCGAUACAAUAAACUUGAAUCAAAUAGUUA
Long non-coding RNA from Cyprinus carpio (common carp), 724 nucleotides. RefSeq lists it as uncharacterized. The record is from RefSeq and is a predicted model, not a curated record. Lineage: Eukaryota; Metazoa; Chordata; Actinopteri; Cypriniformes; Cyprinidae. The transcript is spliced from 2 exons.